RNAcentral lists this small RNA (30 nucleotides) under Bombyx mori (domestic silkworm). RNAcentral's name for it is "ovarian small RNA-17690". The record is from RNAcentral. Lineage: Eukaryota; Metazoa; Arthropoda; Insecta; Lepidoptera; Bombycidae.
GUCAACGAUUCCCCCGUCGCCGCCGACCCA